CUUCAUCCAGGCCUGUUCUCCAGCAGACUCAUGCUGGGAAGCUACUACUGAGUGGUUUAACAUCUCUGGAUUCUCUGACUUUCUUCAUGGCCCGUGUAUGGUCAAAACAGCAUCCCAAAGUCUACCUUACCCUGGCUGGGAAAAUGGCAUUGAAGGACCCGAACCUUUCCGGACAGCCGUUCUUGCCACCUAAGCUUGAUGCAGAGAAGGAGGAGUCCCUGAAUGAGGAGGAACCGGAGAGCUUCUAAAGGGAGGAAGUCUUUGA
Hypomesus transpacificus is the source of this 265-nucleotide long non-coding RNA. RefSeq lists it as uncharacterized. The record is from RefSeq and is a predicted model, not a curated record. Lineage: Eukaryota; Metazoa; Chordata; Actinopteri; Osmeriformes; Osmeridae. The transcript has 3 exons.